RNAcentral lists this transfer RNA (77 nucleotides) under Candidatus Wirthbacteria bacterium CG2_30_54_11. Its description in RNAcentral is "tRNA-Arg". It matches the Rfam family "tRNA". Rfam says of the family: Transfer RNA (tRNA) molecules are approximately 80 nucleotides in length. Lineage: Bacteria; Candidatus Wirthbacteria. The record is from RNAcentral.
GUCUCCGUAGUUCAACUGGAUAGAACGUCGGCCUCCGAAGCCGAAGGUUACAGGUUCGACCCCUGUCGGGGACACCA